UCUUUAGUGCCCCAAUCUUGCAAUGUACCUCUAUCUUGCAAUGGACCAAGGUACUACUGAUGUCAUCACAUAAUGAGUCUUACAUAAUUCAAGACAAAGGCGUCAAGACAACACUAAGACUAAAAAA
This 127-nucleotide long non-coding RNA is filed under the name Amphimedon queenslandica. Its description in RNAcentral is "uncharacterized LOC109583472". The record is from RNAcentral. Lineage: Eukaryota; Metazoa; Porifera; Demospongiae; Haplosclerida; Niphatidae.